RNAcentral lists this ribosomal RNA (543 nucleotides) under Triticum aestivum (bread wheat). RNAcentral's name for it is "partial small subunit ribosomal RNA". The record is from RNAcentral. Lineage: Eukaryota; Viridiplantae; Streptophyta; Magnoliopsida; Poales; Poaceae.
AUGAGCACGGUGCUCAAGAAGAUUUCAUCCGCCACAAGCGGUUUGAACAAAGCAUUUAUGAGCCUGCUCAGAGGCUUUGAGGUAUCUAAGGGUCCGGCAGCCAACCAGUCCAUUGAAGUUGCCGAGCUAAGGAGGCAGAUCGGAUCUAUUGAUGUCAAUAUCACGCUGGUGAACGAGCGGCUGAACGAGUCACAAGAUGGUGUUGCUGCCAUGGAAGCCCUGAGGGCGGAACUUUCCCAGGCCAAGGAACAAGCUCGGGUUAGCAAUGCGGCUGCCCUAAAGGCGGGUGAAGAAUUAAGAGCCAAACAGGCUGCUCAUCGCCGAAGUGAGGAAAAGAUAGCCGAAAUGGCUGUGGAGUUGAAAAAUGCCGCCGACCGGUAUGAACUCCUUGAAAAGGAGAAUAAGGCUAGUUCGGCCGACCUGAAUAGGCACUUCAUGCCACCAAGGAGAUGCGGACCAAGGUCAGGGGUGUGCGGGAGGAGCUUCAACAGGCCGGUAAAAUCGUGGCUGGGGGCUCCUACUUACUGCGGACGAAGUUUUUGA